GCACCAGUGGUCUGGUGGUAGAAUAGUACCCUGCCGUAUAGACCCGGGUUCGAUUCCCGGCUGGGGUG
Oryza meridionalis is the source of this 68-nucleotide non-coding RNA. The record is from Rfam. Lineage: Eukaryota; Viridiplantae; Streptophyta; Magnoliopsida; Poales; Poaceae.